This is a long non-coding RNA of Zalophus californianus (California sea lion), 346 nucleotides long. RefSeq lists it as uncharacterized. The transcript is spliced from 3 exons. The record is from RefSeq and is a predicted model, not a curated record. NCBI's taxonomy places the organism in Eukaryota, Metazoa, Chordata, Mammalia, Carnivora, Otariidae.
GAAAUGCUAAAUAAGCAUGAGCCUAGUAUGUCCAAGAAGCUGAUGAAGAUCAGUUUGAUAGAAGGAUGCAAACAGGGAGAACAGUAGGAGACAGGUCACCCAGGCAGUAUUGUCAGGCCAUGAUUGACUGUAGGGCAACAAGAGUGGGAACUGAGAGACCAAUCGGGAAGCAAUUGCAUAAGAGAUUAUGCUGGCUUGGACUGUGUUGGUAGCUGUGAAGGUGGCUCUGGUCAAUCAAGAGCUGACUAGACUUCUCUCAUGUCAGCCUGUAGUAUGAUUUACAUUUCCUGAAGCUCCCGUGGAGAGGAAAAGAUUUCUGUUCAAGUAUGCAUCCCUUGCACCUAUC